RNAcentral lists this ribosomal RNA (511 nucleotides) under uncultured Glomus. Its description in RNAcentral is "SSU rRNA". It matches the Rfam family "Eukaryotic small subunit ribosomal RNA", at positions 569 to 1081 of the family's 1831-position model. The record is from RNAcentral. Lineage: Eukaryota; Fungi; Glomeromycota; Glomeromycetes; Glomerales; Glomeraceae.
AGCAGCCGCGGUAAUUCCAGCUCCAAUAGCGUAUAUUAAAGUUGUUGCAGUUAAAAAGCCCGUAGUUGAAUUUCGGGAUCAAUAUAUCGGUCAUGCUUAGGUAUGUACUGGUAUUAUUGAUUUCUCCCUUCUGAAGAACCAUGAUGUCAUUAAUUUGAUGUCGUGGGGAAUCAGGACUGUUACUUUGAAAAAAAUUAGAGUGUUUAAAGCAGGCAUACGCUUGAAUACAUUAGCAUGGAAUAAUGAAAUAGGACGUUUGAUUCUAUUUUGUUGGUUUCUAGGAUCGACGUAAUGAUUAAUAGGGAUAGUUGGGGGCAUUAGUAUUCAAUUGUCAGAGGUGAAAUUCUUGGAUUUAUUGAAGACUAACUACUGCGAAAGCAUUUGCCAAGGAUGUUUUCAUUAAUCAAGAACGAAAGUUAGGGGAUCGAAGACGAUCAGAUACCGUCGUAGUCUUAAACCAUAAACUAUGCCGACUAGGGAUCGGAUGAUGUUAAUUUUUAAUGACUCAUUC